Molecule: transfer RNA, 76 nt
Filed under: Oxalobacteraceae bacterium
Lineage: Bacteria; Pseudomonadati; Pseudomonadota; Betaproteobacteria; Burkholderiales; Oxalobacteraceae
Also listed under: 1 other name
Description: tRNA-Ala
Rfam family: tRNA
About the family: Transfer RNA (tRNA) molecules are approximately 80 nucleotides in length.
Source: RNAcentral
GGGGUCGUAGCUCAGUUGGUAGAGCACCUGCUUUGCAAGCAGGGGGUCACCGGUUCGAAUCCGGUCGGCUCCACCA